UACGGGGGGGGGCAAGCGUUGUUCGGAAUUACUGGGCGUAAAGGGCGCGUAGGCGGCCUGUUAAGUCGAACGUGAAAUCCCCGGGCUCAACCCGGGAACUGCGUCCGAUACUGGCAGGCUUGAAUCCGGGAGAGGGAUGCGGAAUUCCAGGUGUAGCGGUGAAAUGCGUAGAUAUCGUCAAGAACACCGAUAGUGUAGACAGCUUACUAGGCUGAAACUGACGCUGAGGCACGAAAGUGUGGGGAUCAAACAGG
Molecule: ribosomal RNA, 254 nt
Filed under: uncultured bacterium
Lineage: Bacteria
Description: partial 16S ribosomal RNA
Rfam family: Bacterial small subunit ribosomal RNA
Source: RNAcentral